This 506-nucleotide ribosomal RNA is filed under the name uncultured bacterium. RNAcentral's name for it is "partial 16S ribosomal RNA". It matches the Rfam family "Bacterial small subunit ribosomal RNA", at positions 30 to 523 of the family's 1533-position model. The record is from RNAcentral.
AUUGAACGCUGGCGGCAUGCCUUACACAUGCAAGUCGAACGGCAGCAUGGAAGAGCUUGCUCUUCUGAUGGCGAGUGGCGAACGGGUGAGUAAAGCAUCGGAACGUACCGUGUAGUGGGGGAUAACGUAGCGAAAGUUACGCUAAUACCGCAUACGCACUGAGGUGGAAAGCAGGGGAUCGCAAGACCUUGCGCUAUACGAGCGGCCGAUGUCAGAUGAGCUAGUUGGUAGGGUAAAGGCCUACCAAGGCGACGAUCUGUAGCGGGUCUGAGAGGAUGAUCCGCCACACUGGGACUGAGACACGGCCCAGACUCCUACGGGAGUCAGCAGUGGGGAAUUUUGGACAAUGGGCGAAAGCCUGAUCCAGCCAUGCCGCGUGAGUGAAGAAGGCCUUCGGGUUGUAAAGCUCUUUCGGCUGGGAAGAAAUCGCACAGGCUAAUACUCUGUGUGGAUGACGGUACCAGCACAAGAAGCACCGGCUAACUACGUGCCAGCCGCCGCCGUAA